UUACCGCGGCUGCUGGCACGGAGUUAGCCGGUGCUUCUUCUGUAGGUAACGUCAGGGCCUAAGGUUAUUAACCUUAAACUUUUCCUCCCUACUGAAAGUGCUUUACAACCCUAAGGCCUUCUUCACACACGCGGCAUUGCUGCAUCAGAGUUUCCUCCAUUGUGCAAUAUUCCCCACUGCUGCCUCCCGUAGGAAGCCGAAUUCCAGCACACUGGCGGCCGUUACUAGUGGAUCCGAGCUCGGUACCAAGCUUGGCGUAAUCAUGGUCAUAGCUGUUUCCUG
RNAcentral lists this ribosomal RNA (282 nucleotides) under uncultured bacterium. RNAcentral describes it as "partial 16S ribosomal RNA". The record is from RNAcentral.